RNAcentral lists this ribosomal RNA (372 nucleotides) under uncultured organism. RNAcentral describes it as "bacterial SSU rRNA". It matches the Rfam family "Bacterial small subunit ribosomal RNA", at positions 526 to 896 of the family's 1533-position model. The record is from RNAcentral.
CGAGGGGUGCAAGCGUUGCUCGGAAUUAUUGGGCGUAAAGGGCAAGUAGGUGGUCUCAUUUGUCUGGGGUGAAAGCCUUGAGCUUAACUCAAGAAGUGCCCCGGAGACGGUGAGACUCGAGUAUUGGAGAGGGUCGUGGAAUUCCCGGUGUAGCGGUGAAAUGCGUAGAGAUCGGGAGGAACACCAGAGGCGAAGGCGGCGACCUGGACAAUUACUGACACUCAACUGCGAAAGCGUGGGGAGCAAACAGGAUUAGAUACCCUGGUAGUCCACGCCGUAAACGAUGGGAACUAGGUUUGGCGGGUCUUGACCCCUGCCGAACCGGAGCUAACGCAAUAAGUUCCCCGCCUGGGAAGUACGGUCGCAAGACUA